RNAcentral lists this unclassified non-coding RNA (899 nucleotides) under Hevea brasiliensis (rubber tree). The record is from RNAcentral. Lineage: Eukaryota; Viridiplantae; Streptophyta; Magnoliopsida; Malpighiales; Euphorbiaceae.
UUCUCUAGCAAUUAUAUUCCCUGCUUGCUAACAAAUUAAUUACACAAUGAUGGGCACUUCAAUCAUGUAUAAUUCUCACUUUAAUUUGUAACUAUCUUUUUUCUUUUGACAACUUAACUAUACAAAGCUUGAAUUUGCAAGCUGAGAUCCCCAGAGAAAAUUUUUUGCACUCUGAAAACCAUUUCCAGGUUAAGAAAUUCCAUGUUUAAGCCAGCUUUUUCUCUUUUGUUGGUCCUCUUGGGAUCUUGUCAAGAAAUUUGGAACUAAAACUUUCUAACAAAUUCAUCAUGUCUUGGCUGCUUCUGCCAGCAAAAUGAUCCGCCUGAUGUUCAUAUCGCUCAUACAAGGCUGGCACUGUUACGAGGCACAGAAACACAAUAUAUAAGAGAGUCAGAGUGUCGCAAAGAGACCCAAAAGCUGACAAUAUCCAGAGACAAGCUAUCGUCACAAAGAAAGUUAUUAGAUCGUUCCCACUUGAAAUAUAAUAUAAAUUGGAUAGUAAUCGGUUGAUUUGCUCAAAGAAGAAUCUCAGUGUGGAUUCUGGCAACUCCAUGUCAUCAAUAUCAGGAGGAUUUCUCUUGAUGAAUCCUGCGGCUGCGGUGUUAGACCAAAUGAAGAAGAUGGCCAUAAAAAGCAUGAGCAAAUGGCAAAGAAGAGUAACAAAAUGGUACUCCACAACUUCAAAAAGGAACCAUAUAACUGUGAAACCAAUUAGGAUUCCUGCUGAUAUAUACUUGUUCUUCCACAGCAAUAUGUCAGCAACACGCCCUCCUCCAAGGAUGGCAUGAAGAGACCUUCGACUGCCAAACAAUUUUCUUGAAGAUGCAGGCUGGUUGUCAUCAGAAUCAGAAUCAUAUAUUCCCCAAGUCGGCAUGAUCACUAUAGAUGUCCGAUGCUAU